GCAUUGGUGGUUCUUUGCUAGAAUUCUCGUCUGCCAUGCGGGAGGCCCGGGUUCGAUUCCCGGCCAAUGCA
Molecule: transfer RNA, 71 nt
Filed under: Saccoglossus kowalevskii
Lineage: Eukaryota; Metazoa; Hemichordata; Enteropneusta; Harrimaniidae
Description: tRNA-Gly
Rfam family: tRNA
About the family: Transfer RNA (tRNA) molecules are approximately 80 nucleotides in length. Their secondary structure includes four short double-helical elements and three loops (D, anti-codon, and T loops).
Source: RNAcentral